GCUUUUCCUUAUGAACAGGAGUUUGAAUAAUCACUUUUUCCUCUGUCUUUUUUUAGCCACCAUGGUGAAUUCGGAGCAUGCUCGCUUCUCCUGGCCAGCGGUUGUAGCAUCCUUGCUUCUGUUAUGCACUUUCCUAAUCAUUUUAGGAAUCAGAAAAUGGUGUCAGUACCAAAAAGAAAUUAUGAAUAGACCUCCAUCUUUCAAGCCACCACCCCCUCCAAUAAAGUACAUAUCCAUGGUGGAAUCUGAUGGAACUACUGCAUCCUGCCAUGAACUAGAAAAUUUGUAAUGUUUCUUGGAGUAUUCCUGAACCAUCACUGAAGAAGAUUAAAUCUUGUUACUGUGUAGGCUUUUUAAAAUGUAGAUUGCUGGAGUUCAGUGUUAAUGACUUAUUUUUAAAUUCAAGUUUCUAAAUUGACAAGGACAGAAGCAAAGCACUUUUUUCACCCAUUCAUCUGACAGAUAAAGGUCUAAUUGCAGCCUGUUGGAGAUGACAGGUGCUCAUCUUGAACUGAGUGAUCAGCUGGGAAUAAUGGGAGUAUAUUGGUGCACGUGUCACUUCACUAAUCUGCUUAGAAAAAAAAUGUUGAAGCACUUUCUUUUAGUAUGCCUACAAUGAUGAUUGCUUUAAGCAUAUGGCAGAUAUAAUUCUCCACCGUCUUGGUAACACUUUGAUUAGAUGCAAGCUUUGUAGCAUGUGAAUGUACAUUUUGGGAUUUUUUUUUUAAACUAUAAUCUCUUUACUAUAUAAAUACUAGUGAGGUUAGUUAAUGUUAACCCUAAGGAACAAGAACAAUCAUUGUACGACGAUAGUCCACAAAUAUCAUGACUGACAUCCAACAUGGACUCAUUGGGAAAAGCUGAAGAAGAGGCCACUGUUUCCUUCUUACAUGAUCUGCUAAGAAGACCUUGCAGCAUAUCUUGAGGCUGCCAGACCAAGGAGGCUAUCUAGCAAGCUAUCUUGAAUGGGAGACCUAAGGAAUAAAACACGUAACAAUCCAAGGGGAUGAUGAUAGAAACAGUGACUAAUUCCAGAGACAAUAGCUGUUGAAAAAUAACAGUUGUUUAAAGGUAAACAUAUUUCCAUGAAGUAUAUUUAUACAUCAACUAUAUUGAUCUCAGUAGAUUUUAAAAAAGAAACAUGGUUCUUCAUCUUUCACGCUUCAGGUCUAAAUAUGAGCAGGGAGAACCCUGCUAAGUCAUACACAUAGCUCUUUCUGGAUUUUAUAAACGUAUUUUAAUAUUGAAAACAGUUUUCAGAUACGUAAGAACUCAAGCGUCGACUGGGAACAGUACAAUUAAUGUAAGAAAACACCAUCAUGAUAAAGUGUGUGUUUCUCACGGAGCCAACUUCAGACAUGUUGGAGUUGAAAAUGAUGUGCUGGUUUUGUGAUGGGAUAUGCACUGCUUUCUGAAAUAGAAGUGGAAAAUGAGUGUCAUGAAGUUUACAAAUGUUGUGUUCUUCAUAGACAAAUGAGUAAUUAUUGUGUUCUUAAUUAUUAACAUGUAUGUUUUUAUUUCUAUUUUAAUUAAAUGUCUG
Molecule: long non-coding RNA, 1540 nt
Filed under: Pelusios castaneus (West African mud turtle)
Lineage: Eukaryota; Metazoa; Chordata; Testudines; Pelomedusidae
Description: lncRNA (ENSPCEG00000000965.1)
Source: RNAcentral